AAUCUGUGAUGAGGGCAUUUGGUUUGAUAACCCUUAAAGCGCUCCCAAGCUUCACAGAAGCUUUCAUUUUGCUUUUGAGUGAAUCCAGAUAUCUCAUUCCGGAGUCU
RNAcentral lists this small nucleolar RNA (107 nucleotides) under Arabidopsis suecica. RNAcentral describes it as "snoR71". It matches the Rfam family "Plant small nucleolar RNA R71". From Rfam's summary of the family: R71 is a member of the C/D box family of snoRNAs containing the C (UGAUGA) and D (CUGA) box motifs. Lineage: Eukaryota; Viridiplantae; Streptophyta; Magnoliopsida; Brassicales; Brassicaceae. The record is from RNAcentral.